Molecule: ribosomal RNA, 501 nt
Filed under: uncultured bacterium
Lineage: Bacteria
Description: partial 16S ribosomal RNA
Rfam family: Bacterial small subunit ribosomal RNA
Source: RNAcentral
AUUGAACGCUGGCGGCAUGCCUUACACAUGCAAGUCGAACGGCAGCACGGGUGCUUGCACCUGGUGGCGAGUGGCGAACGGGUGAGUAAUACAUCGGAACGUACCUUAUCGUGGGGGAUAACGCAGCGAAAGCUGUGCUAAUACCGCAUACGCCCUGAGGGGGAAAGCGGGGGAUCGCAAGACCUCGCGCGAUUAGAGCGGCCGAUGCCUGAUUAGCUAGUUGGUGGGGUAAAAGCCCACCAAGGCGACGAUCAGUAGCUGGUCUGAGAGGACGAUCAACCACACUGGGACUGAGACACGGCCCAGACUCCUACGGGAGGCAGCAGUGGGGAAUUUUGGACAAUGGGGGCAACCCUGAUCCAGCAAUGCCGCGUGAGUGAAGAAGGCCUUCGGGUUGUAAAGCUCUUUUGUCAGGGAAGAAACACCGGCUCUAACACAGUCCGGGAAUGACGGUACCUGAGGAAUAAGCACCGGCUAACUACGUGCCAGCAGCCGCAGUAA